UGGGGAAUAUUGCACAAUGGGCGAAAGCCUGAUGCAGCAACGCCGCGUGAGUGAUGAAGGUCUUCGGAUUGUAAAGCUCUGUCUUUUGGGACGAUAAUGACGGUACCAAAGGAGGAAGCCACGGCUAACUACGUGCCAGCAGCCGCGGUAAUACGUAGGUGGCGAGCGUUGUCCGGAUUUACUGGGCGUAAAGGGUGCGUAGGCGGAUGUUUAAGUGAGAUGUGAAAUACCCGGGCUUAACUUGGGUGCUGCAUUUCAAACUGGAUAUCUAGAGUGCAGGAGAGGAGAAUGGAAUUCCUAGUGUAGCGGUGAAAUGCGUAGAGAUUAGGAAGAACACCAGUGGCGAAGGCGAUUCUCUGGACUGUAACUGACGCUGAGGCACGAAAGCGUGGGUAGCAAACAGGAUUAGAUACCCUGGUAGUCCACGCCGUAAACGAUGAGUACUAGGUGUAGGAGGUAUCGACCCCUUCUGUGCCGCAGUAAACACAUUAAGUACUCCGCCUGGGAAGUACGAUCGCAAGAUUGAAACUCUAAAGUGAAUUGACGGGGGUCAUA
Molecule: ribosomal RNA, 555 nt
Filed under: uncultured bacterium
Lineage: Bacteria
Description: partial 16S ribosomal RNA
Rfam family: Bacterial small subunit ribosomal RNA
Source: RNAcentral